This is a non-coding RNA of Misgurnus anguillicaudatus (oriental weatherfish), 2653 nucleotides long. NCBI's taxonomy places the organism in Eukaryota, Metazoa, Chordata, Actinopteri, Cypriniformes, Cobitidae. The record is from RefSeq and is a predicted model, not a curated record.
CACUCUAAAAAAAAAGGUUCCUUGAGGUUCUAUAUAGAACCGUUGGGUUCUAUACUUGGCCAAUAGAACCUUUUACCAAAAAAAGGGUUCCAUAUAGAACCCUUGGAAGGCAAAGAACCAUUUUUAUUAAAAUGGUUCUAUAAUUCACGUUUUCUGACUGAAGUGUAAACUAAAGAUUACACAAUAAUUGCAGACCUACACAACUCAUUUACAAACCUACACAACUCAUUCACAAACCUUUUUGUGUCAAUAGGCUGUGGUCAAAAAAAGAGAGAGUCAACAAAUAGGCUAUUAAUAUUUAGUGUAUGAUUUAUUUCCUGUGAGCUUUUUUAUGCAAGUUUGUACAUUAGCAUGAAACUUACAGUGCAGUUUGCGUUUCUGGUGAAUUAUCAGGUGUUUUCUUUAUUUUGUACAUUCUAUAUUGUCAAUGUUUGUUUAAUUUAACCUGAAGGGGCAUUAAAAACAAAUAAUCGCAAAAGUGCCCUCUGGUGGCGUAUAUUUGCGUUGCACCAGAAGAUGAGCCUCGUGACGUGACAGUUUUUUUUCAAACUGAGGUGAGGAGUUCGGACUCCGGACCGGCAUUUCUGCUUGUUUGUACCCUGUCCAUGAGAUAACCAUGGUUAAUAAAUGGUCAGACACGUCACUGGCUUUAAAAUAUAAACCCCAUUGAUGCAAAAAGAUGCUGCAUGGAAUGACAAUGAGGUUUGGAACAGACUUGGUGAAGAACAUGGAAACAUCUCUAAAUAAAAUGGCGCCAAACAUCAUCAGGAGUGCAAAAGAAGGAAGUAAAAAACAUCUCUACGCCAAUCUCAUUGGAGAGGAAACCACAGAAGGAACCCAAAGGUCCCACACCAACCAUAGUGUUCAACGGCUCUCCUGAUCUUCUCAAAUCUGAAAGUAUCAACUGUAUAAUGGACAAUGUGAACUUAAUAUGUGGAAGACAUUGACAUCACAGGCUGUGGAAUGACUGUGUCACAGGUCGGAGAAGCGGACCGCCCCUGUCGCGGAUCACGCUCCUCCUAGUUCCACCUUGAGGAGGUCCCAAAGCACCCCAAUGACCAGACAAACCAGAGAUAAGUAAAAUAUAAAAAUAGAAACUUUAUUUAAAUGAUCUAAAACUAAAGUGGGGAAUGGGAAAGGGAAUCUAAAAAUCUCGCUUCUCGCCCUCAGGGGGAGUAUUAAGGGGCCAGGGACGUUGGAGGGGUUUCCACGUGACUCCACCUCGAACACCGCUACAGAGCGUAUCUGGCUGGGUUGGGCACACACCAUCGCGGCGGCCCCUGAUGGCAUCCACAAAGGUCCAAGACCCUCCUAAGCUCCCAGCCGUAGCAGAACUACGUAUUUCAGCACCCGAACGACUAACAACCCAGCCGGCAUCUGCAGCGUAUAUCCAACGCGAUCAAACUUCACUCUGACAAUUAACUUCCUAUACACAACCACGCCGUCCUUUCGCCCGGACCAGCCCCGCACUCUUUCCGCCCGCUACCUAGCGGUCGCCGGAUCAGCAGAGCCUGCUGACUCUUCGGAGUCUGGUCUUCGUUGUGCUGCCCAAGGCGGAAGUUUACUUCCAGUAACUUCUACCUUCUCUCUUUAUAUCCCCAACCAUCGCUCGCCACGUCACUCACACAGCUGUGCCUUGUUUCAGCGAGUGCGGGGAUUCCCGAGGAACCCGGAAGUGCCGGUGUCUGUACAAACUGGUCCGGGCAGAACCUCUUCACUCUACUUUUGGUUCCGCCCCGCAUAGUCACUCUGUGACAACUGUUUGCGUUUUUUUUUUCUCCUCAAUGUUCAAUACCCUUUUGCCAUUAAGCAUACAGUGACUUUAAUUUAUAAAAUAUAUGCUUAAGUUUUAAUACCUGUACAAAACAAAUGUACAAUCAACUUGUGUAAGUUGUCAUUCUAUUUAAUAGAUUGUUCAUGAAUUGUCUUUAAAUGCAUUGUGAUUUCGGUAACACUUUACAAUAAGUUUCAUUAGUUAACAUUAGUUAAUGUAUUAACUAACUUGAACAAACCAUGAGCAAUACAUUUGUUACAGUAUUUAUUCAUCUUUGUUAAUGUUAGUUAAUUCAAAUUUAAGCUUUAAUUGCUUGUUCAUGUUAGUUCAGAGUGCAUUAACUAAUGUUAACAAGAUUUUAAUAAAGUAUAAGUAAUUGUUGAAAUUAACAUUAACAAAGAUUAAUAAAGGCUGUAUAAGUGCAGUUCAUUAUUAGUUCAUGUUAACUAAUGUAGCUAACUAAUGUUAACUAAUGAACCUUAUUGUAAAGUGUUACCGUGAUUUCUUUUCAUCAUUUCAGACACAUGUAAGUUACUAAAAAUUAGUACUGCAUAUACUGUACAGUAUCUAUGCGUAAGGGAAAUAACUUGAACAAAAUUUUUAAUGUAUAGUGUAAUUAAGAGUUUUUUUGGAGUGUUUAAUACAGAGAUGCAAUUUAUUUAUUUAUGUAUAAACGUAUGUAUGUUUAUUAAAAAAGUGAAAAUGCUUAAUGGAAAUAAUUAAAUAACUAAAUGGUUGAAUGUAAUGAGACAUUUUAAAUGUAAACUAAAGUUUUGCUGUCUAAUACAGAAUAAAGAGAUGUGAUUUUAAGUAAUUUUUAUAGAUUUAUAUUUCUGUAUAAUAAAAUUAAUAAAUAAUAAACUUUUAUAAUUUUCUGGA